CCUACGGGAGGCAGCAGUAAGGAAUAUUGCGCAAUGGGCGAAAGCCUGACGCAGCAACGCCGCGUGCGGGAUGACGGCCUUCGGGUUGUAAACCGCUUUCAGCAGGGACGAAACUGACGGUACCUGCAGAAGAAGCACCGGCUAACUACGUGCCAGCAGCCGCGGUGAUACGUAGGGUGCGAGCGUUGUCCGGAAUUAUUGGGCGUAAAGAGCUCGUAGGCGGUCUGUCGCGUCGGAAGUGAAAACUCGGGGCUUAACCCCGAGCCUGCUUUCGAUACGGGCAGACUUGAGGAAUGUAGGGGAGAACGGAAUUCCUGGUGGAGCGGUGGAAUGCGCAGAUAUCAGGAGGAACACCAGUGGCGAAGGCGGUUCUCUGGACAUUAACUGACGCUGAGGAGCGAAAGCGUGGGGAGCAAACAGGCUUAGAUACCCUGGUAGUCCACGCCGUAAACGGUGGGCACUAGGUGUGGGGGACAUUCCACGUUCUCCGUGCCGUAGCUAACGCAUUAAGUGCCCCGCCUGGGGAGUACGGCCGCAAGGCUAAAACUCAAAGGAAUUGACGG
Molecule: ribosomal RNA, 563 nt
Filed under: uncultured bacterium
Lineage: Bacteria
Description: bacterial SSU rRNA
Rfam family: Bacterial small subunit ribosomal RNA
Source: RNAcentral